AUGGUGGCCCUUGAGGAAGAUGUGGAAGACUCGAUUAUUUGGAAGUUCACUAAGGAUGGGAUUUAUUCUGCUUCAUCGGCAUACAAGGCACAAUUUGAAGGUCUCAUAUCCUCUGAUCUUGUCAAGUCCGUGUGGAGGGUCUGGGCUCCCCCGAGGUGCAAAUUUUUUGCUUGGCUCGUUCUUCAAAACAGAAUCUGGACAUCAGACUGCUUAAUCCGUCGUGGAUGGCCCAACUGCGGCUUGUGCCCUCUUUGUAAGCAAGCACAGGAGUCCGCUGCUCACCUACUCUUCCAAUGCCGCUUCACAUUGCGCAUUUGA
RNAcentral lists this ribosomal RNA (318 nucleotides) under Triticum aestivum (bread wheat). RNAcentral describes it as "partial small subunit ribosomal RNA". Lineage: Eukaryota; Viridiplantae; Streptophyta; Magnoliopsida; Poales; Poaceae. The record is from RNAcentral.